AGAGAGGGGAAGCAGCAGCCCUGGAGACGUUCGGCCGCCUGAGAUCUAGCUCGCUAAAGGCACAGGGUCAGAGGGGAACUGGGAAGGCAGUUUUCGCGCGGACUCUGUAACCUUGAGGCUCAUUAUAAAAUAGACUGGAAGGGAAAGGUUGGUGUAGGGAGCUUGGCUGGACAGGGCAGUUUCUCUUUCAUUCUUUAUCCAGACUCACAGACGCGCAAACUAUAUUGCAGGCAGUCACUGGACUCCCAGGGCUAACCUCUUCAAGGUUGCUUCAGAGCUGUACCAUAACUACAGGCUCUCUACAUCAGCUUCUGGGCUGUUUUUAGCAGUACUCUUCAAUGAUUCACAAGAUGGUGGCUUUGCUUUCUAGACACACGUGGUACAACCCACUCACUGGCUCCAUUGCACCUGCCUGGGUGACUGACCUUAAGGGAAAAAAAAAAAAAAAACUCAUAGAUGCUCAAGCCAGCUGCCCUUGCUAUAGCUUUCUCCUUGGUUUUCUGCACAUGGGCAUUGAAUAAAUUCUAGUGGGUCCCAAUCCCCAAAUUCUCUAA
RNAcentral lists this small RNA (554 nucleotides) under Rattus norvegicus (Norway rat). RNAcentral describes it as "uncharacterized LOC102550095". Lineage: Eukaryota; Metazoa; Chordata; Mammalia; Rodentia; Muridae. The record is from RNAcentral.